UCUCCGUUGGUGAACCAGCGAAGGGAUCAUUACAGAGUUGCAAAACUCCCAAACCAUUGUGAACGUUACCUAUCCCGUUGCUUCGGCGGGCGGCCCGGGCCCCGCGCCCGGCGCCCCCCGGCCCCCCGUGGGCGCCCGCCGGAGGUAAACCAAACCCUUGAAUUGCAUGGCCUCUCUGAGUCUUCUGUACUGAAUAAGUCAAAACUUUCAACAACGGAUCUCUUGGUUCUG
This 231-nucleotide unclassified non-coding RNA is filed under the name plant metagenome. Its description in RNAcentral is "partial contains small subunit ribosomal RNA, internal transcribed spacer 1, and 5.8S ribosomal RNA". The record is from RNAcentral.